RNAcentral lists this long non-coding RNA (1000 nucleotides) under Canis lupus familiaris (dog). Its description in RNAcentral is "lncRNA (ENSCAFG00000009480.5, ENSCAFG00805030719.1)". Lineage: Eukaryota; Metazoa; Chordata; Mammalia; Carnivora; Canidae. The record is from RNAcentral.
AUGAAAUCUGAUGAUUUAAUUGUCACGUUGAGCCCAAAGAAACAAGUUUAUUCAUUCUUUGCCACACAGCCCCUUCUGAGAUUAAAGGGAAACGCAUCUGCCACUCCUCCCACAUCAGUUUUCUCGACUUUAAAUAUUCCCAGUCUAGCAAGCUUCUGCCUAUGGCCCGGUUCCCUCCUGGAACCGUCCCUGUAUCUGAUGACAGAGAGAGAAACUGAGGCAAAGACCGGCUCGGAGAAUUUCCACACUGAUUAGUCAACAGUGGAAAAUCUGAAGAGAUGCAAGUAGGAAAAAGAAACUAAACCAGUUGUCAUUGUGAAGGCUGCUCAUGUAGAUGCCUGUCACUCUUUGAAAUUCAGGAGACAGCAUGCACAGGAUCCUGCCAGGCCCUCGGAGGACACCCAGCUGCAUGGCUCUCUCCAGCUUUUUCAUGGUAGCGACUCCAUUGUAUUCUUUCCUGACUCAUUCGUUUAUUCAUUCUUUCUUUGAGAAAACCUUUAGUAGGCACUGUGCAGCAGGCUCGUGGUAGGUGCUCAGGAAAUCUGGGCUCUGAAAGGCUCCUCCUCCCCCUUGUUAGAGCGGGGGCCUUGUUUCACCCAGGUGGGGACAGCCGUUUAUGUAGAGAGAAGCCAGAGGGACAGGGAGUUUGAUAACAGAACAGUUUGGUGAUGGGGAUGAGACAGAUGCGCUCUCAGCCACAUCAGGACAAAGCCCCCAUCACUGGCAGGCAGCAUCCCAAAGAAUGUGCACUGAAUUAGGAGUGAGGAAGAAUGGGUUCAAUCCCGAUUUGCUGACUAACCGGAUGGGGGCCUUAGGUGGCUCUGUGAGUCCUGGUCUCCAUUGUGAGGGUUAGAUAACCCUCAGGCAGUGCCUCUGAGGUACUUUCAGGACCGUUGCUGGGAAGAGUAUGCACUUAGUAAGUAUUGAAUGAAUGACGGAAGGAAUGAGGGAACGUUCUGUGAUUCUCAGUGCUAGAAGAGAACUUGAGCAGGUCAGGUGG